UACGUAGGCAGCAAGCGUUGUUCGGAGUUACUGGGCGUAAAGGGUGCGUAGGCGGCCCUGUAAGUAUGGUGUGAAAUCUCCCGGCUUAACUGGGAGGGUGCGCUAUAGACUGCGGGGCUCGAGUGUGGGAGAGGAAAGUGGAAUUCCUGGUGUAGCGGUGAAAUGCGUAGAUAUCAGGAGGAACACCGGUGGUGUAAACGGCUUUCUGGACCAUAAACUGACGCUGGAGGCACGAAAGCCGUGGGUAGCAAACAGG
RNAcentral lists this ribosomal RNA (256 nucleotides) under uncultured bacterium. RNAcentral's name for it is "partial 16S ribosomal RNA". It matches the Rfam family "Bacterial small subunit ribosomal RNA", at positions 524 to 776 of the family's 1533-position model. The record is from RNAcentral.